This 451-nucleotide ribosomal RNA is filed under the name uncultured bacterium. Its description in RNAcentral is "partial 16S ribosomal RNA". It matches the Rfam family "Bacterial small subunit ribosomal RNA", at positions 29 to 523 of the family's 1533-position model. The record is from RNAcentral.
AACGAACGCUGGCGGCAGGCUUAACACAUGCAAGUCGAACGGUUGCAGCAAUGCAGCAGUGGCAGACGGGUGAGCAACACGUGGGAACCUUCCUAGGGGUACGGAACAACUCAGGGAAACUUGAGCUAAUACCGUAUAGGUCCGUGAGGAGAAAGAUUUAUCGCCCUUAGACGGGCCCGCGUCGGAUUAGCUAGUUGGUGGGGUAACGGCCUACCAAGGCGACGAUCCGUAGCUGAUCUUAGAGGAUGAUCAGACACACUGGGACUGGGACACGGCCCAGACUCCUACGGGAGGCAGCAGUGGGGAAUCUUGGACAAUGGGCGCAAGCCUGUUCCAGCCAUGCCGCGUGAGUGAAGAAGGUCUUCGGAUCGUAAAGCUCUUUUGCCAGGGACGAUAAUGACGGUACCUGGAGAAUAAGCCCCGGCAAACUUCGUGCCAGCCGCCGCCGUAA